UUGCAGGAUGGUGAUAUAAUCAAUAUUGAUGUCACUGUGUAUCUAAAUGGUUAUCAUGGUUAUACGUCAGCAACUUUCUUUUGUGGAGAUGUUGAUGAGGAAGCAAGGAAACUUGUGAAGGUAACCAAAGAAUGCCUAGAUAAAGCUAUAGCAAUAUGUGCAUCAGGAGUGGAGUUCAAGAAAAUUGGCAAAAACGAUU
This is a long non-coding RNA of Hibiscus syriacus, 199 nucleotides long. RefSeq lists it as uncharacterized. The transcript has 3 exons. The record is from RefSeq and is a predicted model, not a curated record. NCBI's taxonomy places the organism in Eukaryota, Viridiplantae, Streptophyta, Magnoliopsida, Malvales, Malvaceae.